UACACUCCUACGGGAGGCAGCAGUGGGGAAUAUUGGACAAUGGGCGCAAGCCUGAUCCAGCCAUGCCGCGUGAGUGAUGAAGGCCCUAGGGUUGUAAAGCUCUUUCACCGGAGAAGAUAAUGACGGUAUCCGGAGAAGAAGCCCCGGCUAACUUCGUGCCAGCAGCCGCGGUAAUACGAAGGGGGCUAGCGUUGUUCGGAAUUACUGGGCGUAAAGCGCACGUAGGCGGAUCGAUCAGUCAGGGGUGAAAUCCCAGGGCUCAACCCUGGAACUGCCUUUGAUACUGUCGAUCUGGAGUAUGGAAGAGGUGAGUGGAAUUCCGAGUGUAGAGGUGAAAUUCGUAGAUAUUCGGAGGAACACCAGUGGCGAAGGCGGCUCACUGGUCCAUUACUGACGCUGAGGUGCGAAAGCGUGGGGAGCAAACAGGAUUAGAUACCCCAGUAGUCCCAUG
Molecule: ribosomal RNA, 451 nt
Filed under: uncultured organism
Description: partial 16S ribosomal RNA
Rfam family: Bacterial small subunit ribosomal RNA
Source: RNAcentral